GACAGCAGUAGCCGCGGUAAUACGUAGGGUGCGAGCGUUAAUCGGAAUUACUGGGCGUAAAGCGUGCGCAGGCGGUUCGUUAAGACAGAUGUGAAAUCCCCGGGCUCAACCUGGGAACUGCAUUUGUGACUGGCAGGCUAGAGUAUGGCAGAGGGGGGUGGAAUUCCGCGUGUAGCAGUGAAAUGCGUAGAUAUGCGGAGGAACACCGAUGGCGAAGGCAGCCCCCUGGGCCAAUACUGACGCUCAUGCACGAAAGCGUGGGGAGCAAACAGGAUUAGAUACCCCAGUAGUCCCUGUCUCUUAUAC
RNAcentral lists this ribosomal RNA (306 nucleotides) under uncultured bacterium. RNAcentral's name for it is "partial 16S ribosomal RNA". It matches the Rfam family "Bacterial small subunit ribosomal RNA", at positions 507 to 807 of the family's 1533-position model. The record is from RNAcentral.